AGUGAACGCUGGCGGUAGGCCUAACACAUGCAAGUCGAACGGCAGCACAGUAAGAGCUUGCUCUUACGGGUGGCGAGUGGCGGACGGGUGAGGAAUACAUCGGAAUCUACUUUUUCGUGGGGGAUAACGUAGGGAAACUUACGCUAAUACCGCAUACGACCUACGGGUGAAAGCAGGGGAUCUUCGGACCUUGCGCGAUUGAAUGAGCCGAUGUCGGAUUAGCUAGUUGGCGGGGUAAAGGCCCACCAAGGCGACGAUCCGUAGCUGGUCUGAGAGGAUGAUCAGCCACACUGGAACUGAGACACGGUCCAGACCCCUACGGGAGGCAGCAGUGGGGAAUAUUGGACAAUGGGCGCAAGCCUGAUCCAGCCAUACCGCGUGGGUGAAGAAGGCCUUCGGGUUGUAAAGCCCUUUUGUUGGGAAAGAAAAGCAGCAGGUUAAUACCCCGCUGUUCUGACAGUACCCAAAGAAUAAGCACCGGCUAACUUCGUG
This 492-nucleotide ribosomal RNA is filed under the name uncultured bacterium. RNAcentral describes it as "partial 16S ribosomal RNA". It matches the Rfam family "Bacterial small subunit ribosomal RNA", at positions 29 to 507 of the family's 1533-position model. The record is from RNAcentral.